Molecule: ribosomal RNA, 471 nt
Filed under: uncultured bacterium
Lineage: Bacteria
Description: bacterial SSU rRNA
Rfam family: Bacterial small subunit ribosomal RNA
Source: RNAcentral
ACUCCUCGGGAGGCAGCAGUGGGGAAUUUUGGACAAUGGGGGAAACCCUGAUCCAGCCAUGCCGCGUGUAUGAAGAAGGCCUUAGGGUUGUAAAGUACUUUUGUUAGGGAAGAAAAGCUAGUUUUUAAUAAAAAUUAGUGAUGACGGUACCUAAAGAAUAAGCACCGGCUAACUACGUGCCAGCAGCCGCGGUAAUACGUAGGGUGCAAGCGUUAAUCGGAAUUAUUGGGCGUAAAGCGAGUGCAGACGGUUACUUAAGCCAGAUGUGAAAUCCCCAAGCUUAACUUGGGACGUGCAUUUGGAACUGGGUGACUAGAGUGUGUCAGAGGGAGGUAGAAUUCCACAUGUAGCGGUGGAAUGCGUAGAGAUGUGGAGGAAUACCGAUGGCGAAGGCAGCCUCCUGGGAUAACACUGACGUUGAGGCUCGAAAGCGUGGGGAGCAAACAGGAUUAGAUACCCUGGUAGGCGUAG